CGCGCUACCACUGGCAGAGAUAAAUCUUGCCAAUACUUACUAUGGCUCAUCUAGUGGUUCUUGCUCUUUCAGAAAGUACCAUGGCUGCACUCACGCUCCAGUGAUAAGGAAGCUACCAUCAAAGUGCCUCAGUUCCUUAUAACCAGGCAAGACUGGUGGAAGGUGAUGUAUUGAAAGCCCAAGGCUGUCUCACGUGGCCACGGGAGUUGUUGCCUACCAGUAUUUGUAUCUACUUCUAGGAGUCUAACAUUGUAUCCUCAUAAAAGUAUCUUUUCUAGUGAUUUUUAAAUUUUUAUUAGACUUAUUUCAUAUAUUUUGCCUGCAUGUAUAAUCAUGCCCCCCGUGCAUACCUACUGGCUGUGGAGGUCAGAAGAAAUGAUAGGAACCCCUGGGAUUGGAGCUACAGGUGAUUUUGAGUCCUCAUCUGGGUGCUGUGAAUGGAAGCCAGAACAUCUGCAAGAAUAACAACUGCUCUUGGCCAAUGUCUCUCCUUUUCUUUGCCUUUUCUCUUUAUUUUCACCCGACCUUAAAAGGGUUCUCAUUUAUUUUUUUUUGAGAUUGUCUCACUUUGUUGGCUUGACAGGCUUGGAACUGGCCAUGGAGAUCAUUCUGGCUUUGCACUCUCAGACAUCUCAUGGCCUCUGUCUUCUUCUGAGUCCUAGGAUUAAAGUUGUUUACCACCACACCUGACCUUUUCUCAUUUUUCAAAGAUUGAAAACUAGGAAGGAUUAUCAGGAAACAGGAAAGGGAAGCCAUAUGGAAGAUUAAAAGUGAAAAUAUGAGAUGAACCAUCAUGUGCUUCUGGCUGGAGGUAUCUCAUGAUCCCCAGAGAAUAGAACUCUCUUCUUGCUGAGAAGUAAACUGAACCACAGCUCAUUCACCAGGAAAAUGGAGCACUUGCCUCAUAGAUGGUGAUGACUUACUAACGAGAGGCAGAAGCUGAAGCUGCACAUGCAUAAAAUCAGAACCCUGAUUCAUCGGGACUACAAUCAGGCAGCUCAGGAUCUUUCCCAUGGGUUGUCAAAGUGCUCCUCUCUGGGAGGAACAGGCUGCAGCUUCAGCUGAACCCAGAAUCUCACUAUGUAGACAACACGAACUUUGAAUUCACAGAGAUCCUUCUCCUCUCAAGUAUUGGGAUUAAAGGAAUGUGUCACACUAUGCCCGGCUGCAGACUGUUAUUGCUUUAUAACAAAGUUGAUUUUAAAGGGAAUGCUUUAUAUGCUCAAUAUACACAUUAAUUCUUUUUUCAGCCACCUUGUCCUUAGCCAGGUGAAGUGACAUAUGACUUUAGUCCAAAAACUCACUUGGUAGAAACAGGCAAAUAUCUGUGAGUGUGUGGCCAUUUGGGUCUACAUAGUGAGUUUCAGGUUUACCUGGUAUAUAGAGAGAGACUCUCUGUCAAAAAAUAAAACAACAAACAGAUACCAAGCUCGCCAAUGAGUUGCUCAUUUACUACACUGCCAACAGCAUGCCGGGUUGCAUUGUAGAGCCUCAUACUUUUGCCAUGGUGACAUUUGUGGGGCGUUAGUUUGUGAACAACACCCAUUCCUCAUGUAUCUAAAUACCACUUUUCUUAUACAUUCUCCUAUAUCUGACCAAAGGGAAGACCCCCGUUCUCUUAGGGGCCUAACACAGAAGGCACUGCUCAUCUUCCUUGUUUGUCAUUUUAAAGAAUUACUGCCAAAUGAUGGAAACGUUUGUUCCCGUUUUUAUUUCUGAGUGUACUCUGGAUCUAUGAUUCACAGUCAGGUGUAGUUAACAAUGUUUUCUCUCAUUCUGUGUGUUGUCUUUUCACUUGAGUAACCAUUUCCUUUGUUUUUACAGAGCUUUUGAAUUUUGUGACAUCCAUUAGCUUAUCGUCACUAUUAUUUCCUGAGGAACAACAAGACCUUCAGGAGUUCCUCACCUCUGUCUGUAUCCUGAAUAAUGUUCCCCUAUGUAUUCCUCUAAAAGGUUCGACUUGGAAGCUCCUACAUUGAGGCUUUUAGAUUGAAAUACCUAGAUUAGGAAUGAUUUUUGUGCAGGGUGAGAGAUAAAGAUCGGUUUUCAUUCUUAUACACGAAAGAUCCCCAGUGAAACUUGUGUUAGUGUUUUUGAAAAUGGCUUGGAAAACCUAGGCUGGAAGAGGGUGUAUGUAUGGCCUUCUUCAUAGGAGAUCAUUCAUCAUUUGCUAUCUGCAAACUCAGGUAGCGAAGGCUAGUUGCAACAACCUAUACUAAGACCCAUGUGUCCACUAAAGAUGUUUUCAGAGGUAAGAAUGACCUGUGGAAUUUCACAGAACAGAAGAGAACAGAAAGUUAGUUCCCAGUGCCAUUUUGGGAAGCACACCUGUAACUUGUGGGGGGCACUCUUCUACCUAAAGAAUCACCACCAGCCGGGCGGUGGUGGCACUCGCCUUUAAUCCCAGCACUUGGGAGGCAGAGGCAGGCAGA
This is a long non-coding RNA of Mus musculus (house mouse), 2432 nucleotides long. RefSeq annotates it as predicted gene, 35353. Lineage: Eukaryota; Metazoa; Chordata; Mammalia; Rodentia; Muridae. The transcript has 3 exons. The record is from RefSeq and is a predicted model, not a curated record.